Molecule: transfer RNA, 87 nt
Filed under: Holosporaceae bacterium
Lineage: Bacteria; Pseudomonadati; Pseudomonadota; Alphaproteobacteria; Holosporales; Holosporaceae
Description: tRNA-Leu
Rfam family: tRNA
About the family: Transfer RNA (tRNA) molecules are approximately 80 nucleotides in length. Their secondary structure includes four short double-helical elements and three loops (D, anti-codon, and T loops).
Source: RNAcentral
GCCUCUGUGGCGGAACUGGUAGACGCGGCAGACUCAAAAUCUGCUGUUCGCAAGGACGUGCUGGUUCGACUCCGGCCAGGGGCACCA